ACAAUUUUAGCAAUCCUUAUAAAAUCACUGCAUGUCACAUUGUGUGACAUGGAUCUAAUAAACUUGGCUACGACAUGCGUGUAGACUGUACGAUGAUGACACCUGUUGACUCGUAGGCUACGACGCACGUUACUACAGAAGAAUAAAACGUCAUCAUCAUGCGCUAGUGAUAAACAAAAAGAGCAUGAUAAAGAAACACUUUAGCAGUAGUAUUUUUUAUGUGCUGAAAAAAAGUAGAAGCAGCGAAAGAGGAAGGCAUAAGAGCUUGAGUUUAUUUUCAGAAACCUCCUCAGAAAAGGGAUUCUUCCAGAGGGCAUGAUGGGAUAGCUUUUAAUAAGCCAGCUGUUAGGCUAUGACGAAAAGAGAAAAUGAAGGUUGAAGAUUGAAGAGCAUCCAACUAAAAUGUUCCUAAAAACAUUCCAUGACUGAUGUAUAAAUUGUUUUUGUGCCAACAUUUUGAGAAUGUUAUUAAAGCCUGAAAACGUUCUAUUAAAAUUACUGUAAAAAUGUUUGCUCAUAACUUUCUGAAUGUUCCAUGAACGUUCAAAACUUCCAGUUUUUAAA
This is a long non-coding RNA of Onychostoma macrolepis, 564 nucleotides long. RefSeq lists it as uncharacterized. The record is from RefSeq and is a predicted model, not a curated record. The transcript has 3 exons. NCBI's taxonomy places the organism in Eukaryota, Metazoa, Chordata, Actinopteri, Cypriniformes, Cyprinidae.